RNAcentral lists this ribosomal RNA (493 nucleotides) under uncultured bacterium. Its description in RNAcentral is "partial 16S ribosomal RNA". It matches the Rfam family "Bacterial small subunit ribosomal RNA", at positions 28 to 506 of the family's 1533-position model. The record is from RNAcentral.
GACGAACGCUGGCGGCGUGCUUAACACAUGCAAGUCGAACGGUGAAGCGCCUUCCUUUUUGGUGGGUGUGGAUGAGUGGCGAACGGGUGAGUAACACGUGAGUAACCUGCCCCCUUCUUCUGGAUAACCGCAUGAAAGUGUGGCUAAUACGGGAUAUUCUGGGUCUGUCGCAUGAUGGGUCUGGGAAAGAUAUUGUUUCGGUGGGGGAUGGGCUCGCGGCCUAUCAGCUUGUUGGUGGGGUGAUGGCCUACCAAGGCGGUGACGGGUAGCCGGCCUGAGAGGGUGGACGGUCACACUGGGACUGAGACACGGCCCAGCCUCCUACGGGAGGCAGCAGUGGGGAAUAUUGCACAAUGGGCGCAAGCCUGAUGCAGCGACGCCGCGUGAGGGAUGGAGGCCUUCGGGUUGUGAACCUCUUUCGCCAGUGAAGCAGGCCUGCCUCGUUUGUGGGUGGGUGGACGGUAGCUGGAUAAGAAGCGCCGGCUAACUACGU